UCCUACGGGAGGCAGCAGUGAGGAAUAUUGGACAAUGGAGGCAACUCUGACCCAGCCAUGCCGCGUGCAGGAAGAAUGCCCUAUGGGUUGUAAACUGCUUUUAUUUAGGAAGAAACGCCAGUACGUGUACUGGUUUGACGGUACUAAACGAAUAAGGACCGGCUAACUCCGUGCCAGCAGCCGCGGUAAUACGGAGGGUCCAAGCGUUAUCCGGAAUCAUUGGGUUUAAAGGGUCCGCAGGCGGGCUAUUAAGUCAGUGGUGAAAUCUCUUGGCUUAACCAAGAAAUUGCCAUUGAAACUACUAGUCUUGAAUUCGGUCGAAGUGGGCGGAAUGUGUCAUGUAGCGGUGAAAUGCAUAGAUAUGACACAGAACACCGAUAGCGAAGGCAGCUCACUAGGCCUGAAUUGACGCUCAGGGACGAAAGCGUGGGGAGCGAACAGGAUUAGAUACCCUGGUAGUCCACGCCGUAAACGAUCAUUACUCGAUAUCAGCGAUAUACAGUUGGUGUCUAAGCGAAAGUGAUAAGUAAUGCACCUGGGGAGUACGAUCGCAAGGUUGAAACUC
RNAcentral lists this ribosomal RNA (565 nucleotides) under uncultured bacterium. RNAcentral describes it as "bacterial SSU rRNA". It matches the Rfam family "Bacterial small subunit ribosomal RNA", at positions 337 to 902 of the family's 1533-position model. The record is from RNAcentral.